GGUGAACGCUGGCGGCGUGCCUAAGACAUGCAAGUCGAGCGGGGCAGGUUUAUACCUGUUCAGCGGCGGACGGGUGAGUAACGCGUGGGUGACCUACCCGGAAGAGGCGGACAACCUGGGGAAACCCAGGCUAAUCCGCCAUGUGGUCCUGUCCUGUGGGGUAGGACUAAAGGGUGGAUAGCCCGCUUCCGGAUGGGCCCGCGUCCCAUCAGCUAGUUGGUGGGGUAAAGGCCCACCAAGGCGACGACGGGUAGCCGGUCUGAGAGGAUGGCCGGCCACAGGGGCACUGGGACCCGGGGCCGAGCCCUACGGGGGGCAGCAGUUAAGAAUGUUCCGCAAUGGACGGAAGUCUGACGGAGCGACGCCGCUUGGAGGAGGAAGCCCUUCGGGGUGUAAACUCCUGAACUGGGGACGAAAGCCCUGUGUAGGGGGAUGACGGUACCCAGGUAAUAGCGCCGGCCAACUCCGUG
This 470-nucleotide ribosomal RNA is filed under the name uncultured bacterium. Its description in RNAcentral is "partial 16S ribosomal RNA". It matches the Rfam family "Bacterial small subunit ribosomal RNA", at positions 28 to 507 of the family's 1533-position model. The record is from RNAcentral.